RNAcentral lists this long non-coding RNA (39400 nucleotides) under Malus domestica (apple). RNAcentral describes it as "long non-coding RNA (MDOM_LNC001386)". The record is from RNAcentral. Lineage: Eukaryota; Viridiplantae; Streptophyta; Magnoliopsida; Rosales; Rosaceae.
AAUGAUCCAAUAACUAGUUCCCCUUUCAGUUCAUUUAGCCCACCUAGCUCAUCAAGUCUAUGACGCCUUGCUCUAUCCAAUUUAAAAGAAGGUAGCAUUUGCAGAUGAGUCAAUCUUUUCAUCCCAAAUGGAACUUCCUUAUCCUUAUCAAAAUAAACAUGUCUCAAGUUGAUCAAAUUUUCCAUUUCCCUAGGAAACGUUUUAAGAUUGUCUGUAUUUGACAUUCUUAACGUCUGAAGAUUAUAGAGCUUGCCCAUAGAUUUGGGGAGUGCUUUUAAUUUUGUACUUGAAAUAUUGAGAUACCUCAAGCGUUUCAACUUUCCAAUUGAGAUGGGCAACUCCUCUAUUACAGCCAUGUAUAAAUUCAAUGUCCGUAAAUCUCUGAACCUUUCAAACAUGUUACUGAACUCAAAGCGUCGUGGAGGAAACAAUGAUAGCAAUCUCCUAACGCUUCCUUGUAGAAAUCUUUCAAGUGUCGUGGAAGAAAUCCGGGCAACAUGCUGAAUCUCAAGUGCUCCAUCGUCCAUCCGAUCCAAGUCUCGUGUCAAGCUUUCAAAUUUGAAUACUUCCUCAGCAAGAUCAUGCACAAGAUCGUGCAUCUUGCAUUUGGUAUUCCCAUACUCAUCUUCUCUUUCUCUUCUAUGUGCAUACUGAUAGUUUCUAGCAUAUUGAAAUAAAGAGUUUUGCAAUAGAAUAUUAAAAUAUUCAUUACCUUUAUCCUCCAUGGGAGAAGAAUGGAGAUAUCCUUGAGCCAUCCAGAGUUGGACCAAGUCAUCUUUUUCAAUCUCACAAUCUUUUUCAAACAUUGAGCAAUAUGCAAAACAUUGCUUCAAUGAUGGCUCUCUUAAAUUAUCAAAACUCAACUUCAAGAUCGGCAUGAUUCGGUCCUCUCGAUCUGGUAAUUCCCAUAUUUUACUUUCUAGAAUUGACGACCAUUCCUGUGAAUGCAUCAAGCUUCCUAAAACCUGUUGAUACAUAAGAUAAUUAGUUUCUAUAUGUUGUAGAAUAAUAAAACCUGAUUAGCAAAAUAAUAACAGUGCCAAAUUUUAGUUUUAUUGAAUUUUGACUAACAUUAUUGGCAAGAUAAUGACGCAUUGAACUCAACUUUGUUUUGUAUCGAUGAAAAGUGAAAGACUGCUCCUGUUAGAAGAGAAAUACUAAAGGGACUUGCUAGCCAAGUAAGAAUUGGUUUCAGAAUUAAUUGAAAGAUACUUUAUUAGAUCAGUUAAAUAUAAGUUUUAAUUUUUUUUUAGUACAUCAAUAUGUUUUUAUAUUAAAGGGAGGGAGAGUUCGGCUAAACCACAUAAUGGAUAACAUAAUUUGGUAUCGAAUUCACCAUCCACAAGAUUUGAACCUAAGACCUCUCACUUUCAAGUGAAGAGAAAUACCAUGAUACUGUAGUAUUGGAGCUAUAAGUUUCAAUUAGAUACUUAUGAUAACUGGGUAAUUGAAUGGUUUGUAACAAUGCACUAGGAAGGUAGUAUUUUGAAGGAGCGCUUUGAUCCACAUUUUCUACUUUGACAUGUAUAUAUAAGGUUAAGCUUCGGAGACACUCAUUUUUGAAACAUAUUUUAACACAAGUUUUCGUGGCUUUCAUUCUAUAAUUUUUUUUUUUCAAGGAUCUCAAUCAUUUAUAUUUCAAUUCAUCAUUCAUAAAUCUUUCUUGUAAAAAAUUAGAAAAAUCCAAACUCAUUUUGACAUUUAUUUGUAGUGAAGGAAAAAGCCGAUAUGAUUCUACAAAGAUACACUAAAUUUACGCAAUUGCGCGAUGAGCACAAAGUGAACUAUUCUUUCGCCUUUUACUAAAGAAACACUAAAUUUGAUCCAAUGGUUUUUUUGGUAGAGAUGAUAUUUUAGGGAAGACGUCAAAUAUAAGACGGUUUAAUUGUUGAAAUACAUUAAACACACAAUAUAUAUAUAUAUAUAUAUAUAUAUAUAUAUAUAUAUAUAUUGGUUUUAAGGGAAGGUAUCCACAUUUUUUUUAUAAAAUUAGGGAUCUGUUGUGGGGCCCACACCACAUCGAAUUUUAACGAUCCGAACCGUCUAUUUUUUAAGUUGCACCUCAAAGAUCAUCCUUGCAAAAUAUUAGCCAAAUUGGAAAUAUUUAAGACAUCUAAAUGGGUUCAAAGAAAUUAACGAAUACUUGUUAUAUAAAAAACAACGAAAUUUUAUCUUGAUAAUUAAAUAGGCAAAUGAUUUCAGAUUGAAUUGAAUUGUUGCAAGAAUGAUCUAUGAAUCGAGACUUACAAAAUAGACUAUUUAGAUCAUUGAAGUUCGAUGUGAAGUGGCCUACGGAUUGUGUCAAAAAAUGUGUCUCCCAAUCCUAAUCCAUAUAUAUAUAUAUAUAUAUAUAUAUAUAUAUAUUAUAUAAACAAAAUUGACCCUUUAAAGCUCACUAUUAUGUUUUUCAUGCAAUUUUCCUUUAAAAAUGUUGGACAAAAUUAGAUAUACCAAGUUAAGGCUUUUUAUAAUGGCGAUUAUGUUGAAUAUUUAAUCAUACUUAUAUUACUAACGUAUAGUGAUAUUUUUUUUACCUGUAACUGAAGGGUCUUAAGUUUGACUCAUAUGAAUGGUGAUGACACAUUAUAUUUAUUUGAGUUUGAGAUCUAGUAAUGACUAAUCCAUUAUAUGGCCUAGCCCAAUUAAACUUAGGGGGAGUCUAUCCAGGAGUCUCACUUGACCUUAAUAUAUUCUUUUUCCCAAUAGUUUGAAGCAUUUUUUCCUUUAAGUUUUUGCUACCUAAUAAGGUUUUAAUGAGACACCCAUCUUGGGAUUGUCAUACCCUUGUGUGCGUCCUUUUAGACGUUUAAUCUUUACUUUGCAUUAACUCAUAUUUCUCCUUAAGACUUAUUUUCAUAUGCAAGUUCCUUAUUUAAAACUAGCAUGUUUCUCUAUCAGUGCCUACGAGACGACUUCAUACUAUUUUUACAAAUCUGAUGCAAUAUCUACUUGAGUAUUUACACACUCAAGGGGGAGUGUUGUAAUUAAUAUUUGACAUUGUGUGUGUUUGUACCAUACUUGACCAAUCCCGAAACUACUGAGCAUCGGUCAACGUUAUAGCGUCAAGGACCCAAAAGAGUUUCCCUCCAACCAGAAGGUCAAUCACAGCGAGACACGUGUUGACAUCAGAAGCCAAUCAUAGCGCGACACGUGUCAACAUCAGAAGCCAAUCACACGUGUCAAUGUCAGAAUGAAACUAGAAACUCUCUUCUAUAAAUAGAGAUCAUUCUCUCACAAUAUUUCCUAAUGUCAUUUGUACUAAAUCAUUCACUUGUACUCACUAAAGGAGAGCUUGAACCUAUGUACUUGUGUAAACCCUUCACAAUUAAUGAGAACUCAUCUACUCCGUGGACGUAGCCAAUCUGGGUGAACCACGUACAUCUUGUGUUUGCUUCCCUGUCUCUAUCCAUUUACAUACUUAUCCACACUAGUGACCGGAGCAAUCUAGCGAAGGUCACAAACUUUACAUUUUCUGUUGUACCAAAGUCCUUACUGAUUUUGUGCAUCAACAUUUGGCGCCGUCUGUGGGAACGACACUUAUUCCCAUUCUCUUCAGCUUUGCCAAGCUGGUUUCCACCAUUCGUACACUCUCUUUUGACCAGGCAUCCCUCUCCAACAUGGGGAGCAAAGGAAGCCAGAGCACACAGAAUGACACCCAUCUUGCACCUAGUGCAAAGCAACGAAAGAAGGAAGGAAAUAAGGCUACUCUUCAAGCUAAAGUCGAUGAGCUAGAAGCUCAGAACAACAAGAUAGCAAUGAAGAAUGAGAUCCUCCGGGAGCAGUAUGAGAAGCUUUUUUAGACGCUCCACGAAACUAGGCAUACUCAAACACGCGAGCUCGUUGCCCCUGUAGACAUCAACCAUCAUCUGGGUGCCCCCCAACAUGGAGGGUAACCUCCCUUCGACAUGGGUAUCCCUGAUGAGGAGCGAGCUAAUCAUCAAAACAUUGAUCAACAUGAGACUUCUCUCAACCAGAUGCUUCGACCCAAAGUAGAAGAAGUGGAGGAAGAUACCUCCUUGCAGAAGGGUUGGAACUUAUCAAUCUCUAACCAACGAGACAAGGCACUUGCAAUUCCAAGGAAUUAAAAUCCUAACUAUCAAACCUCUGUUUGGAAUGCCCUAGCUCCUUGAGUUGACGAUGGAGAAAGUAUUUUAACCGCAACUUGAGUGCCAUCUUCCAAGUAGCCAUGGUAUACAAUCCCAAAUCCUCCUUUCCCAAUUUCAGUUUGAAAGUUUUUGGUGAUUUUUAAAACCUCGUCACAAGUAAACUGGGACUUCAUUGAUGCUACUGGUGUGCUACAUGUGUUUUGUUAUGUUUCUCCAUCUGCAGCUUAAGGACAAAAAGUUAUGAGUUCUAACUGGAUAGGAAUACCACUACGCCAUAGUAGCAGCGCUAUUUCUAACUAUAUAAUUAUCAAGGGCAUAAAAUGGCACCUGGUUUUCUUAUUCUUCUCAGCUUCCAGACCAGUAAGAGCACUAUAACUUGAAGGAGGGCCAUUGUUGAAAGUAAUGAUCCAAGUAUUGGAACAACAAUGUUCUUCUUGCACUUGCUUGAAUCUGAGCUAAAAAGAACUUAUCAGCAGAUAGAAAAUAUAAAUCUGAAGGACGCAAUACCAUUUGCUUUCGUUAAAGAAAAUGCUAACCUAUUCAGCACUCUCCAUGAACGAAACUUGCACAGAGCAGUAGGACGAGGAAACCAGUUGAGAUCUUCAUCUGUCUCAUUGCAGCCUAUGAACUACCUGGUAUUUAAAAUGUGUGACAAUGUCCUGACCAAAAAAACAGAAAAACAUAUAUGACAGUGUUGAUUUGUAAUCUCAUGCUGCACAACUUGCAGAGUACAUACAUGAUCCUUUACAUGGGGAUGCUUAGUCUACGUCAAUCAAUGGAUCAUGCAAUGUUCAUACUAAGAGAGCAAUUUGGUCAACCCAACGUAUUUUCUAGUCAAAGCAUUUAAAACAUUGUUCCUAUUAGGGUUAUGUGGUGUGAUACAAGUCAGGGAGAUAACCCGAAGUAUUAGACAAAAGUGAUUAAGUCGAGGACAAUAUAGAUGCAUACUUGUAUUUAGCCUAGACUGAUUCACUGCACAACAGAUCCCAACCCCAUUUUUAACCCACCAAGUUUUGAACAUGGGAUGAACGAGAGAGUUUGUAGCUACCUAGCAUGCUGCUGUCAUGGAACGUGCAUUUGUGGAAUCUGAACAUCUGGAAAUCACUCUAGGUGAACUCUGGUAUUGUGAGAUCAUAACAAGAGUUUCUUCAUUUGAGCCUGGAGUUCUUUCUCGAUGCUUAGACACCUCCAUUACAUACAUUUUAUUAGUUGGCACAGCACAAAACCAACCAUGGUGGCUCUAUGUUGGGAGGUGGAAGUUGUGCAUGCCAUUGCUGUCUUUAAUGAUUUCCUGACCGAAUUCACAUCGAACUUUCUUUGAAUCCUUCGAUCCAAAUUAGUUGUUAAAUCACCAUUCUGGAACUCAGAAUUCACCCACUCCACGAUGCAGACAAGAUCAUCACUUUCUAUGAUUGCAGCCUUGCAGGUUGGCCCGUAAAACUCUAAAAUUCAACCUUUGAUAAUUAUAGUACCUGCAGACAAUAAAAAGUAAUCAUAAAUAAACCACUCACUGUUCAUACAUUUGUAUUUAUAACAUGAUAAACAAUCUAAUAGAACACAGAAAUUUGAAUAUACUCGCAAUCAAGAUAACCCGCUCUGCCCAUGACCUAUGUCACCACACGAGUCCCAUUAUCACUGGAAAAAACCACAGACAGACCGAAACCUGCUCUUUUCGCAUCCAAGUUUUCGUUGUACUGUGCUUGCUCUCCCCUCUUAAUGCAAUUCUUCUAUUGGAUUCCCUUCUUGAGUGUAGCUGAAAUACAAAUCCAAUUUAUCUGUGAUUAACGUAUUCUAGAUAACUCGACAUGAUUUUAUUCAAGGAUGAAAGACCGAAGAAAGAAGGUGUAUAUUGGCUAAACAGACUACCUUACACAAAACUGGUCUCAUAAAAUUGUAUCUGCACCAUAACACCAUGUGGAAGAUGUCUUAGAACAUAUUCGAAUGCACAUUGGACGUUAUAACAUAUACAGAAUGACCACGGAUUCGUAAACAGUUGCAAAUGUACUUCUAUUAACUCAUAUUUAAGGACUAAAAAGCUUAAUCUCCACAAAAGUCUAAAGUGUUGUUCCAAAAAGAUUGUGAAAGCAAAGAAAUUAAUGUUCUUCCAUGAGGCUAGAAAGUGUAUGAUUUUGCAAACUAAAUGCAACUAAGACAAGAGAACAGAACCAAUCACGAAUUACUGUUUCGGGAAAGAAACUUACACUUGACUGUCAGAAAUGCAAGAAAUCUUGGGCCAGUUGAGCAGGUUACUUCUUUUAAUUUAGAACACAACAGUAAAAUGUAGACUGGCUUUCCUACUGUCGACAGAUACUUCAGGUUCCAACAACGGUGAGUAGAUAGAUCGUCGACACAUGAAAGGUUCCGUCAUCACUCUGGUAAGACCCUUCUGAAUCAUCCAGUGCCAUUGUUGAUGGUAAUGAUCCAAGUAUUGGAACAACAAUAUUCUUCUUGAGCUUGCUUGAAUCUAAUCUAAAAAUAACUUAUCAGCAGAUACAACAACAACAACAACAACAACAAAGCCUUUUCCCACUAAGUGGGGUCGGCUAAAAAUAACUUAUCAGCAGAUAGAAAAUAUAAAUCUGAAGGACGCAACGCCAUUCACAAAACUUGCCCAGAGCAGCAGGACGAGGAAACCAGUUGAGAUCUUCAUCUCUCUGUCUCAUUGCAGCCUAUGAACUACCAGGUAUUUAAAACGCAUGACAAUAUCCCGGCCAAAAAAAUUGAAAAACGUAUAUGAGUGCGAAUGAUCCUUAUUACAUGGGGAUGCUUAGUGUACGUCAAUCAAAAUGCAAUGUUCAUACUAGAGCAAUUUGGUCAAGCCAACGUAUUUUCUAGUCAAAGCAUUUCAAACAAUGUUCCUGUUAGGGUUAUGUGCUGUGAUACAACCCGAAGUAUUGGACAAAAGUGAUUAAGUUGAGUACAAUAUAGAUACAUAUUAUUAUGUAGCCUACACUGAUUCACUACAUAACAGAUCCCACACCCAUUUUUAACCCACCCAGUUUUGAACAUGGGAUGAAUGAGAGUUUGUAGCUACCUAGCUAUUAAGGGUGAAAAUGUAAUACAAUUAGUAAUAUAAUUAGGUAGUUAGUAUUUGGUUAAAGUAGUUAGGAUUUCUAUAUAAACAGUAUGUGUAAUCUUCAUUUGAGUUAGUUAAUACAAAUCCUAUUUCUCUCUCUAAACUCUCUGUCUCUCAAACUCUCUGUAUUGAUCUUUCUUCUCUUCAUCUUUCUUGUUGAUUUUCUUUCAAUUCCCAAAUAUUACAAUGUAGUUAAUAUGGUAUCAGAGCCACCAGGCUCACGCCAUGGAUUCUGGUGGUUUCACUUCCCAUUAUUUUACAUUUGGUUCUAGCUUAGUUCUAUCCAAAUUUUCAUUAGAUGUUAGGAAUUACGAUAAGUUUCUGGGUGCUUCCACGAUCGUUCUUUUACUUCUGGGUUGAUGUGUUUCUGGGUUGAUUUCUUUCUGAUCAAAUUCAUGAGUCUAUUCCCGAUCGAAAGCGAGAGAUCGAAAGUUGGAGAAAAUUUCAAAGCAAAAUGGUGGCAGAGCAAAUGCAGAGAGUAGCAUCUCCACCGUCGCAAUCGAUUGAGGCGCCGAAGAAGAAUAGAAUUCAGGUCUCCAACAAUAAGAAACCGCUCUUCUCGUUAAUCUUGCUAAGAGGUACAUAAAGCAGUACUAGGAGACUCAGUAUUCUGGGUCCGAUUGCGGAGGUUUCUUUGAUAUCUUGAUCAUGGCGGUUGGGCAACUCUUGGCGUUUGCACUACUUGCCUGGUAAUGUUGCUUUUCCGAUUCAGUUGCUUAAUUUCAUUAUUGGGUAACUUGAUUUGUUGAUUCUUGGAGGGUUCUUAGAGAUCUUUGAUCAGAACAGUGGACUGUGAAUUGGGUUCAAUUACUUGCUUUGAUUAGUAGAUGACUAGCACAGUUUUUCGAUUCAAGGAGGUGGUGUUGCUAAUUCCUUAAUUGGGUAUAUGAAGAAACAGUUGUUAAUUACUUAAUUGGUAAUUCUGAUUCUUGAAGAUGGUUUUGGGGAUUCAAUUUGUUCAGUUUGGACUGUUGCUCAAAGAAAGUACUGUUUUAUAAUCUGUUUUUGUAUAGGAAAUGGUUGUUGUUUGUUCAAGAUUGCAAAUCUUGGGAGCUCUUCAGGUUAUGAUUAUGUGCACUCCAACUGUUUGAAGGAAUGGGUCAGUAAAUUCUUUGAUCUCUACUCUGUUCUCUGGUAUGGAAGAAAGAUCAGACAUGGGUGCAGUCCAGGUGUUUGUUGAAAUGCCCAACUCAAACGUUUCAUGUGAAGUCUUUGUGGUAGUCUUAGCUGAACUUUUGUGGGAUCAAUUAAAAACCAAAAGGACUCAUUCUAGAAGCUCGUCAAAAGUGCAACAACCAUUUAGUUCUUGGUUCAUGGAUGAUCUUCUUGCAUUUUUUGAUAGAUCGGAAGAUACGACAAAUGAAUGUAUAGUAUGUGUUGUCAUUUACAACAUUGAUGGACCUGGACUAAGGGAAUCAGAAACCCAACAGUGUCUUGCAUGAGUUGUUUCUUGUUCUUAUAUUUGCAUUUUGGCCUCUAUAUGACAGCAUGUUUAGUGCACUGUGAAGUGGGAUGUCCUCCGAAUGUGAGCUCAUACAACACCAUGUUUAGUGCAUUGUGGAACUGUGGAGACAGAGUUUGAGCUUCGCAAAUGGUAUCAGAAAUGUUAAGCAAAGGAAUAGAUCCCGAUGGGAUUACUUACAAUUCGUUUACAUCGUGUUUGUGCAGUAUAUUUUCUUAUCUCAGCCUAUAAUUUCAUAGUCUAACCAACUCAGUUGUUAGCAUGAAUCUACAGUAAGUCCGGUUAUACGAUGAAGGAAGUUGUGAACGGUCAAUCCCACGAAGGGUAAUUCCGUGAUGUGAAUAGGUAAAUCCCACGAAAGGUAGAAGUUGUUAACGGUAAAUCCCACAAAGGGUAAUUCCGUGAUGUGAGUAGGUAAAUCCCACGAAGGGUAAUCCUACAUAGAUGUUGAUUUUCAAUUGUGAAGGCCGAUGCCAUUGUUCAAAGAAGUUGUUUUUUGGUAAAAUCCACAAAGGGCGAUCCCGUGGUGCUAUAGUUAAGGCCGAUGCCAUUGUUCAAAGAAGUUGUUUUUUGGUAAAAUCCACAAAGGGCGAUCCCGUGGUGCUAUAGUUAAGGCCGAUGCCACACUAUAGUUUGUUAAUUUUCUGUUUUUGUAAAUAUUAAAGGCCGAAGCCAAGUUGAAUGAGAUUGUUGACGGUGAAUCCCAUGAAGGGUAAUCCCGUAAGAAAUUGUUAUAACCGGCAUGAGGGUGUGCUACGACUCCUUUAUAGAAGGUUGUUCUUUGUGAAGAUACUGUUAGAGGCAGGGGAAGGAUGUCAUGAUUUCGGUCCACUGGUUGGAGUCAGAAGCUGGAAAUAGCAAGAUGAACAACUUCAUUAUUACACACUACUCCAAACUGCAAGUGACAGAGCAAUGGAACAUUAUUUGCCCAGAUCAAGUUGAAUGAGUUGAAAUUGGACACAGUUUGAUAACAUUUGAAGCAGAGAAGAUACUCAUUUUUGCCAUUUUACACACCCAUGAUGGAACAGUUGUUUUCUUGUUCUUUUUAUAAGAUGAAGUUGUUGAUGUCUGAUUAAAGUACUUUGAAAAUUGCUUUCAACUUUUGGAAGAUUGGUGCACCCAAACAUGGGGAAUUGGGUUACUCUUCCUUAGCGCCAUUGAUCGGUCUGCUCCAAUCUCAAUAUGAGUUUCCCCAGUUGAGAUUGAGGGGGAGUAUUAAGGGUGAAAAUGUAAUACAGUUAGUAAUAUAGUUAGGUAGUUAGUAUUUGGUUAAAGUAGUCAGGAUUUCUAUAUAAACAGUAUGUGUAAUCUUCAUUUGAGUUAGUUAAUACAAAUCCUAUUUCUCUCUCUAAACUCUCUGUCUCUCAAACUCUCUGUAUUGAUCUUUCUUCUCUUCAUCUUUCUUGUUGAUUUUCUUUCAAUUCCCAAAUAUUACAAUGUAGUUAAUACUAGCAUGGUGCAGUCAUGGAACCUGCAUUUGUGGAAUCUGAACAUCUGGAAAUCACUCUAGGUGAACUAUGGUAUGGUGAAAUCGUAACACGAGUUUAUUCAUUUGAGCCUGGAGUUCUUUCUGGAUGCCUAGGCACCUCCAUUUCCAAACGUUGUGUUAGUUGACAUGACACUGCACAAAACUCAUGCUGCAGACCAAAAAAAGUAAUCAUACACCACUAACUGUUCUUACAUUUGUAUCCAUAACAUGAUAAAAAAUCUAAACCACGAACAAAUCAAGAUAACCCGCUGUGCCCAUGAUUGAUGUCACCACACAAGUCCCAUUAUCACUGGAAAAAACGAUGGACAUGCUCAAAUCUGCUAUUUUCGAGUCCAAGUUUUCGUUGCGCUGGGAUUGCCUCCUCUCUUAAUGCAAUUCUCUUGCUGGAUUCCCUUCUUAAGUAAGCUGAAAUACAAAUCAAUUUAUCUGUGAUUAACGUAUUUUACAUAACUUGACAUGAUCUUAUUCGAGGAUGAAAGAUGGAAGAAAGAAGUUACAUUUUAACUAAACAUAUUACCUUCCAUAAAAUUGGUAUAAUAAAACUGUGUUCGUUGGGUGAACCCACUGCCGUAGAUACUUGAGAUUCCCACAGCUCUGAAUAGAUAGUUCGUCCACACACGAAAGGUUCCGUCAUCACUCUGGCAAGAGCCUUUUGAAUCAUCAAGUGACAAUGCUUCCGAUUCUUCACCCGACUAAUAUCCCGUUUAUUGCAGAAAACGAGAGUGAGUGAACAAUAUUGGACAAAAUAUACAUGGAUAAUUGAUUGCAAAUAAAAAUAAGGGCUCCAAAAUAAAAAUUACCUUUGACAACUGGAAUGUGAUAAAUCUUUGGCUAUUCUGGGCCGUCCCUAGCGCAUCUUUCUUGGAGACGGGGACACCAUCGGAUCUCUAGCUUAUGUAAUUUGGUUAGGCGUUGCAUAGCUUCGACCGCAGGCAGAAACAUCAGAUUCUUACAAUAGGAAAUUUCCAACUUUGUAAGAGAUGUAAGGUUGCCCAACCACUCUGGAAGAGCCUCCACACCAUGGAACUUAUAAAUGGACAAAGAUGUUAGACAAGUAGAGUGUUGAAUUGGCUGAGGCAGAGACUUGAGCUUAGGCCACCCGUAUAAUAUUAAUUUUUCCGAUGGGACCUGAAGAUCCGGGAAAGAAUCGAGCUGCUUGCAGAACUUACCGAUCCACAACCUUUUCAAACCAGAUAGAGAGUGCAGCCCCUUGGGCAAAUAUUGUAAUUUCCGACAAUUAGAUACAGAUAGAGAGGAAAGAGAUUGCAAGCUGGACAAAUUGUGAUCUGCUAGAGAUAUCAAAUUGUGGCAACCAUCGACAUACAAACUGGUAAGAGAUAUGCAGGAUGCAAGCCCACUCGGUAUACUUGUUAAUCGACCGCAAUCCACAAUCUGCAACUCAGUGAGGGAUGUAAGGUUGUCUAUACUGGGAAUAGCCUCUAGAUCAGGGCAUUCGCUGAUAAUUAGAACUUCAAGUGAGACGGGGGUUUGUAGCCCAUGACCCGACAACGUCCUCAAAUUUGGACAAUGCCAAAUACUUAGGGGGGUGUAUUCAAUUGAGAAUGUGAGAGAUUUUAAUGGAUUUAUAAAUCUAUGGAUUUUUAUGGAGUUUAAUUGAUUUGUAGAGAUUCCAUAUAAAAUUUUGAUUCAAUUCCCUCGAAAUCUCAUGGGAAGAGGUGAGAUUUGUGGUUACUUAAAAUACACUAUGAAAUCUCUCCAAUUCCCUCUAAUUCCUCGACUUUCUCAAAUUCUUUAAAAUCAAUUUCUAAUUGAAUACAUCUGGAAUGUUAUAAACUUCUUUAAAAUCUUAAUUGAAUACACCUGGAUUUCUAAGGAUUUUAAUAAACUAUUUAAAAAUUCUAAUUGAAUACACCUAGAAUUUCAGAGAAUCCCUUAAAAUCCUGAUUGAAUACCCCUAGAUUCAUUAAAAGAAUUAAAAUCCCUUAAAAUCCCAAUUGAAUACACCCCCUUAGUGUGCGAAGACUAGUACAAGAAUGGCGCCCACUCAGUAUACUUUUGAAUCCAUUGCAAUUUUCAAUAAACAAAUCAUGGAGGGAUGUGCAACCGUUUAAAGACAAGUCAUCCUCCUCCUCCUCCGGUAAGAAAUCUACCGACUUCUCAAUUCACAAAAGACGGAGUGAGGGCAAACUGUGAAUUGAAGUGCAUCUUAGCUUUCAGCCUCCAACUAUUCUCAACUCCUCCGAUGAGAAACCCGUUCUGCCCAUGACCAAUGUCCCUACACAAGUCUCAUUAUCACUGGAAAAAAAACCAUGGACAGACCGAAAUCUGCUAUUUUUUGCAUCUAAGUUUCCGUUGUGCUGCGCUUGCUCUCCUCUCCUAAUGCAAUUCUCUUACUGGAAUCCCUUCUUAAGUGAGCUGAAAUACAAAUCCAAUUUUAUCUGUGAAGACUGUGAUUAAUGUAUUCUAGAUAACUUGACAUGGUUUUAUUCAAGGAUGAAAGCUUUGAACAAAGAAGUUACAUAUUGACUAAACAUAUUACCUUCCAUAAAAUUGGUCUAAUAAAACUGUGUGAGUUGAGAGGACCUGCACACAGUGAGAAGAAACACAACCUUGUACAAAACUGCGAGAAAUCUUGCGCCAGUCGGGCGGAUUGCUUGUUUUAAUUUAGAAGGCAACAGUAAAAUUUGGAUUGGCUUCCCUACUGCCGAGUGCCGAUAGAUACUUGAGAUUCCCACAACGGUGAAUAGAUAAAUGGUCGAUUCAUGAAAGGUUCCGUCACCACUCUGGUAAGAGCCUUUUCAAUCAUCAAGUGACAAUCAUUCUGCUGUCAAUACUGCAGAAAACGAGAGUGAAUGAAGAAUUUAGAACAAAAGAUACAUGGAUAAUUGAUUGGAGAUAAAAAUGAGCACUCCAAAAAAAAAAAUUACCUCAGAUGUGGAAUGUGAGAAAUCUUUGGCCAUUCUGGGCCGCUGUCCUUGGCGCAUCUUUCUUCCAGACGGGGACACCGUCCAAUCUCUAGAUCAUGUAAUUUGGUUAGGCGUUGCAUAGCUUCGACCGUAGGCAGAUACAUCAGAUUCUUACAUUUCCAAAUUGACAACCGUGUAAGAGAUGUGAGGUUGCCCAACCAUUCUGGAAGAGCCUCCAGACCAUCGAAACAAGAAAUGGACAAACGUGUUAGAGAAGCAGAGUGUUGAAUUUGCUGAGGCAGAGACUGGAGCUUAGGCCACCCGUACAAUCUUAAUUGUUUCGAUGGGACCUGAAAAUCAGGGAAAGAAUCGAGCUCUUGGCAGAAGGCACCGAUAGACAACACUUCCAAACGAGAUAGAGAGUGCAGCCCCUUGGGAAAAUAUUGUAAUUUCCCACAUUCAGAUAAAUAUAAAGAGGAAAGAGAUUGCAAGCUGGACACAUUGUGAUCCGCCAGAGAUAUCAAAUUGUCGCAUGAGUCGACCAGUAAUUUGGUAAGAGAUGUGCAGGAUGCGAGGCCACUUGGUAUACUUGUUAAUCGAUCGCAGUUGCCAAUAGACAAUUCAAGGAGGGAUGUGAGGUUGUCUAAACUGGGAAGAGCCUCCAGAUUACUGCAAUGCUUGAUACUUAGAUGUUCAAGAGAGACGGGGGUUUGUAGCCCAGGACCCGACAAAGUCCUCAAAUUUGGACAUUUAUAAAUAUCCAUUGUGCGAAGACUGGUACAAGAAAGGAGCCCACUCAGUAUACUUUUGAAUCCAUCGCAGUAUCUAAUAAUCAAAUGACGGAGGGAUGUGCAACCGUUUAAAGACAAGUCUUCCUCGAGAGUAGUGCAUCUCUCAAUAACCAAAUCACGGAGUGAGGGCAUAUUCUGAAUUGAAGUGCAUCUUAACUUUGGGCAAUCAACUAUUUUCAACUCCUCAAGAGACUGGGAUGAUGAAAUUUGGAAGGAUUCUAGAUUGCGGCAAUAUUUAAUUUCCACUGUCUCAAGUGAAGGGCAAUAGUCUAACCCACAACACAAGCUCAACAAUUUCUCACAACUCCUAAUUCUCAAUUCACGGAGAUUGGUUACUCGACUGCAUAUAUUUUCUAUUGGCAUGGCGUUAUCAACAUAACGUAUAUCUAACUCCCUGAGAGAUGGAAAAUGAGUGGGAGCACUUGCCAAUCCCCGACAAUGCUCUAUUGUCAACUGCUCAAGGCAGGGAAACACUACUAAGGCUGCUUUCUCACCUGUUGACCUCACUUUCUCAACAACCGCUUCCUUCCAUUCACUUAAUGAUGGGCAAUGGAUAAAUGAUAAGCUUUUCAAUGCUGGAAACAAAGUCACCUCCGUGGCCGCCUCAUCAUUAUUAAUGUAUUUAUAACCAUAAAACUCAACUCCAACACAUUUAAGCUUCUCCAUAUUCUCAAAUAAAAUACGUCUAAGAUUCGGCAAGUGUCCGAGUGGUGGGACUGCUUCACAUUCUACACAACAGCUUAACUCAAUCUCUAUUAAAUUGAUGGGCAACGAAUCGCUCAUCAUCCAUGAUGCAAAUUUAGUACCCUUGAAUUCCUCAAUCCUCAAGCUUUCUAUGUUGGGGUGCGGCUGGAGUCCUUCAAGAAUAUCCUCGUCAAGAAAAUUGCCAUUUCUUUCUUCAGGAGGGACCCACCCCCAUUUUAAUAUCAAUUUUCGUAGGUUUGCCUUUUUCACUAAUUUUGAUUUCAUUGCUUCUUCCUUGUCUCUCACAAAUUCCAAUGAUCCAAUAACUAGUUUCCCUUUCAGUUCAUUUAACCCACCUAGCUCAUCAAGUCUAUGACGCCUUGCUCUAUCCAAUUUAAAAGAAGAUAGUGUUUGCAGAUGAGUCAAUCUUGUCAUUCCAAAUGGAACUUCCACAUCCCCGUCGAAAUAAACAUGUCUCAAGUUGAUCAAAUUUUCCAUUUCCCUAGGAAACGUUUUAAGCCUCCAUGCUCUUAACAUUCUUAACGUUUGAAGAUUAUAGAGCUUGCCAACAGAUUUUGGGAGUUCUUUUAUUCCUGUCCAGGAAAUGUUGAGAUACCUCAAGCGUUUCAACUUUCCAAUUGAAUUGGGCAACUCCUCAAUUUCAGCAUCGAAUAAAUUCAACAUCCGUAAACCUUUAAACCUUUCAAAGAUGUUACCACUAGGGACCUUGCAAUCAACAAACAACGACCGCAAUCUCUUAACACUCCCUUUUGGAAUUCUUUCAAGUGUAGUGGAAGAAAUCCGCGCAACAUGCUGAAUCUCAAGUGCAUCAUCAUCCAUCUGAUCCAAGUCUCGCGUCAAGCUUUCAAAUUUGAAUGCUUUUUCUGCAAGAUCAUGCACCAGAUCGUGCAUCUUGCAAAUGGUAAUACUGUACUCUUCUCUAGCAUCUUGAAAUAAAGAAUUUUGCAAUAGAAUAUUAAAAUAUUCAUUACCUAUAUCCUCCAUACUCACGUUGGUAGAAGAAUGGAGAUAUCCUUGAGCCAUCCAGAGCUGGACCAAGUCAUCUUUUUCAAUUUCAAAAUCUUUCACAAACAUUGAGCAAUAUGCAAAACAUUGCUUCAAUAAUGACGGUGUUAAAUUAUCAAAACUCAACUUCAAGACCGACAUGAUUUUCUCCUCUUCAUUUGGUAAUUCCCAUAUUUUACUUUCUAGAAUUGACGACCAUUCACGCCUGCUAUUUUUAGAACGCAUCAGGCUUCCUAAAACCUGUUGAUAUAUAAGUUAGUUUCUACGUAUUUUAUAAUAUAAAAAGGUGAUUAGCACAAUAAUAAUCCCAAAUUAUAGUUUCAUUGAAUUUUGAAUAGAGUGAUUAGCAAAACAAAGAUGCAUUAAACUCAACUUUGUUUUGUAUAGACCAGAAGUGCAAGAUUGCUCUCCAAUAGUUUUGCUUGUUAGAAGAGAAAUACUACGGAGACUUGCUAGCCAAGUAAGAAUUAGUCUCAGAAUUAAACUCAAAGAUCCUUGAUUAGAUCAUUUAAAUGUGUUAAUUUAAUACUUAUAUGAUAACCGAGUAAUUGAACAGUUUGUAACAAUGCACUAGGAAAGUAGUAUUUUGAAGGAGCGUUUUGAUCCAAAUUUUUUAUAGUGUUCUACAAAGAAACACUAAAUUUAUGCAGCCGCGGGGUGAGCAUAGAGCGAACUAUUCUUUCGCCUUUUACUAAAGAAACGCUAAAUUUGAUCCAACGGUCAUACGACUUCGGAUUUGGGUGAUCUUUUGUAAUGAUCAUUUUGAGGAAACACAAAAAUAGACGGUUAAAUCGUUGAAAUAUACAAACCUAUAUAUAUAUAUAUAUAUAUAUAUAUUAUAAACAAAUUGAUCCUUUAAAAGCUCAUUAUUAUGUUUUUCAUGCAAUUUUCUUACAAAAAUGUUGGGACAAGAUUAAAUUUUACUGAGUUAAGGUUUUUUAUAAUGGCGAUUUUGUUGAAUAUUUAAUCAUACUUAUAUUAGCAAACUAAAAGAUCUUAAGUUCGACUCAUAUGAAUGAGGAUAACUUAUUAUAUUUGUUUGAGUUCGAAACCAUACUCAUACAUGACCCAGCCCAAUUCCCGUUAAGAGUAGAAUAGUAGAAAUCAUAGUCAUACAUUACCCUAAUUCUGCAAACUAAUCCUUUAUGGAGAAAGCCACCAAUCUAUGUCUUCGACUGGCGACCCAUUUUUGUGUGUAAUUAAUGUCUCAUAUUACAAACUUAUCUCUGAACUACUCAUUAAUCUUUUAAUAUCUAUUUUAGGUAAACGUAUUUGACAAAACCAAGAUGUUUUUAUUCCCAUUCAAUUGAUUAAUUCAAUAUGGGAUAUCGGAGUGAUGCUAGAGAGACCAACUACUUCAAUCACACUCAUAGAUCACAUGAUGUGUUAGUUGAUGGUUGGACUUAUUAUUCAAAUCAUUAAAGAAAGAAUCCAACUAUCAACUGCUACAUCAUGCGGUCUACAAAAUAUGGUAUCCCUACUCCCUAGCAUAAAAUUGCAAGAAAACUUGAUAUGAAAAACAAUUUGGGUCAUAAUCGUUAUCAAUUUGCAUCAUCUUUCUCUAUGAUUAAAACUGUAGAUUUUUUGUUUCAAAGUGUUUUCUAUUUCAUGAGUAAUUCCGAAUGUACAAUGCAGUAUAUACAGGCAAGAGAAACAAAUGGUUAGAAGCAACCAUCUUUACAUGAAACCCUAGAGACCGGUUAAACCUAGGACACAAGCUUUUCCUUAAUUUAAGGUGAUUUACAUCAAAUCCUAGACUAAGAAGUAAUCAGCAAGUUAAGUGCCUUGAAUCAAGGAACUAGAAAAACUGGCGGUUGACUUGUGUAUCUAUGGUUACUUGUGGACUUGAUAUGAGAUGACAUGCUAGGGUUUAGUGUGACUGGUUCCAACACUCCCCCUCAAGCUGGAUCGUGAAGUGUAGUCGAGCCAAGCUUGCUCAGAAGCCUAUGUAACUGAGAAAAGGGUAGAGCCUUAGUAAAUAAGUCAGCCAAUUGAUCAUGACUUUGAGUGAAUUGAGUCUGAAUGACUUGUGUUUGAACUUGAGCUCAGAUGAAAUGGCAGUCCACCUCAAUGUGCUUGGUUCUUUCAUGAAAAACAGGAUUAGCUACAAUGUGCAUGGCAGCUUGGUUAUCACACAUGAGAGACAUAAGGGCUUGAUGUGAGAGCCCUAAAUCUGAAACCAAGCCUUUAAGCCAAAUCAGUAAGCAUGCAGUGGCUGCCAUUGCUUAAUACUUUGCUUCAGCACUCAAUCGUGCUAUAACAUGUUGCUUCUUACUCUUCCAUGUCACGAGGUUUCCCCUAAUGAAAGUACAAUAUGUAAUGGUAGAUUUUCUGUCAAUUGCAUUACCUGCCCAGUCUGCAUCGGUGUACGCACUAAUUUCUAUGGACUGAUUGUUUGACAUAAGAAUGCCUCUGUCCAAUGAACCUUUGAGAUAACGAAGAACACAUUUACCAAGGUAAAGAUGUUGCAUUGUGGGAGCAUGCAUAAACUGACUAACUAAGCUGACAACAUAGGUGAUGUCUGGAUGUGUGAUAGUGAGGUAGAUAAGCUUACCAACAAAUCUUUGGUAGUAGCUUAUGUUGGUGAGAGGUUCUCCAGUAGAAUCAAUCUUCAUUUUGCUGUCAAUAGGUGUGAUGGCAGGCUUGCAAUAGAGAUUAGCCUCAGUGAGUAAAUUAACAACAUUCUUUCUUUGACUGAGGAACAACCCUUUGUGAGAGGUGGUCAUUUCAAUGCCAAGAAAGUACUUUAAUCUCCCAAGAUCUUUGAUGGAAGAUGUGUGGUGUAAGGAGUGUUUCAAGGCUUUGAUUCACUCUCAUUGUCACCAGUGAUGAUUAGAUCGUCAACAUAGAUGAGAACCACAAGUUUUCCACUUGAACCACUUCAAAUAAAUAACAAGGAAUCAACAUUGCUUCUUAUGAACUCUGUUUUUUCUAAGACAAAACUUAGCUUGGCAUACCAUGCUCUCGGAGAUUGCUUGAGUCCAUAGAUUGCCUUAUGUAGUUUACAAACCAUUCUUUUUUCCACUUGAGUGUAACCUAGUGGGGGUUGCAUGUAGACUUCUUGAAGUUCUUCAUGGAGAAAGGCAUUCUUUAUGCCUUUCUAUUGAACCAUCUGCCUUGAGCUUAGUUUUGUAAAACCACCAGCUUCCAACAGCAUUCUUUCCUAGAGGCAACUUGACAAUGCUCCAGGUAUUGUUCUCUUCCAAUGCAUUCAGCUCUUCAGCCAUAGCUAAUUUCCAAUAUGGCAAGGAAACAGCUUCUAAGAAUGUUCUUGGUUCAGCAAUUUUGGAGACUUCAGUAAGAAAUGCACGGUGAGAAGUUGAAUACUUUAAGUAAUGUAGUACAUCAGAGAUAGGGUACCUUAAGGCAUAAGUGACAUAGUCCAAUAGCCUCGCUGGAGGUUUUCUUGUCCAAGCAAGAUUUCUUCGUGCACCUUGAGUUGGCUGUGAUGAUUGUUCAUUGUCAACUUGAUUUUUAGAGCCAUGCUCAACGUCCUCUUGUGAAAUGACCUAUGGAUUUGAGAGGUUUGUGACUUGGUGCACCUCCCCAUUGCCUUGAGUGCCUUGCUGGAACAUCAUCAUCUUGUUCUAUGUACAUAGGUAAUGGGACCAAGUCAUGUAGAGACCCCCCUCCACCAGAAGCAUGCUUGGUGGUUAGAAGAAAUGAGUGUCUUCAUAAAAAAAAAACAUCUCUUGAGACAAUGCAUUUUGUUGGUAGGGGAUUGAAGCAUUUGUACCUUUUUUGUGUAGAUGAGUACCCUACAAACACACAUUUUGCAGCCCUAGCCUCCAGUUUGUCACGAUGUUGAGGCUACACAUGAACAAAGCAUGAGCAACCAAACACUUUCAAGUGAGACAGGUUGAUAGACCUCUUUUCUAGAGUUUCACAAGGAGAUUUAAACCAUAGAACAUGACUGGGUAGUCGGUUGAUGAGGUAUGUAGCUGUCAAAAUUGCAUAGGACCAAAACUUCUUUGGAACAUUCAUGUGUAACAUCAAUGCACGAGUCUUUUCAAGUAGGUCUCGGUUCUUCCGUUCAGCAAUCCCAUUUUGCUGUGGGGUUCCCACAUAGCUAGUUUGAUGUACAAUUCAUUUUGAACUCAAGUAUUGAACCAUGGUGUUGGAUAAAAACUCAAUGCCAUUAUCUGAUCUUAGUGUUUUAAUAGUUGAAUGAAAUUGGUUGGACACGAGUGUAUGAAAGUCUUGAAGGAUAGUUGAAACUUCACUUUUAGAUUUCAUGAGAUAAAGAAAAGUGACACGAGUGCAAUCAUCUACAAAUAUGACAAUGUAUGUGUAACCUUCCAUUGAUUCAAUAGUAGGACCCCAUACAUCGGUGUGAACAAGUUCGAAAUGUAUGCUAGAUCCUUACAUUGAGGUUCCAAAAGGUAACCUAGCAAACUUUGAGAAAUGACAAGUAUCACACUUAAUCAAUAGGUGACAAAACUUGGGAAAUAGUUUUGACAAAACAACUUCGGAUGGAUGGGCUAGCCUUUGGUGACAAAGUUGUUGAUUCUUGGAAAAGCUUGGUUGAACUUGAAGGGCUUUUGACAAAAGGGGUUUCGUGCAAAAAUAAUAGAGACCAUUUUGAUAGAAUCUUUCACCAAUCGUCCUCUUGGUGAGCAUCCUGAAAAAUUACAUUUGUGGGUGAGAAUAUGGCUAGGUAAUUUAGAGUGUUAGUGAGUUGUCCUACGUACAUCAACUGAAAUGGAAAAGAGGGUACGUAUAAGGAAGUAGACUCUAUGGUGUUUGAGACUAAACCUAGUUUUCCUCUUCCCAUGACCAAGACAUUUUUUCUAUUUGCAAUUGACACAUGAGAUGGUUUUGACAAGACUUGAAAAUCAUGUAAGUUUGAGGCUUUAUUUGUUAUGUUAUCAGAAGCACCUGAGUUAAUUGUCCAACAAUCAUGAUUAAAACUAGUUUAUAGUGUAGUUGAGAAUGCUUUGAAGAUACUUGGGACUGCAUCUUGUGAAACAUGAUCAUGAUCAGCUAGAAAUCCUGCAAACUGUCCAAGAAGUGUAGUUUGUUUGUUCCCUUCACCCUUGAUGUUUGUGCAGCUUCUCCAUGAUUCUUGGUUUGCAAGUAAGUUGCAAACUCGUUGAUAAGAGUAACAGGAUUGGUUGUGAAAUCCAUCAAGCCAUGAGUGAGUGAGUUGGUAGCAUGGUUGGCAACAUGCUAAGCCUUGAGAGGAGCCACUGAUGAGGAUCUUGGAACCAUCAUCCUAUUGUCUUUUAAUUUGGGCUUGAGUUCAGGGUGCAGCUCCCAACACCUCUCUUAUGUGUGACCAUAUGCAUUGCAAUACUUACACUUUAGAUGUGGAGUCUUUCCUCGGUACAUUUUGGCAUCAUGGUUUCUGUGGUUUGCAACAUACCCUUGAGCCUCAUAUAGCUUGAGAUUAGGCUCCACAUUCAUCACCCUUAUUCUUGCUUCUUCACGUUGCACUGUGACACAAACAGUCUUGAAUGAUGGUAGCUCCACGCUCAUUAAUAUGUGACUCCAGAGAUCCUCAUAUUCUGAGCUGAGGCUUGCGAGCAGUUGAUAGAUCUUAUUCUCCUCAACUCUUUUAAGAAGAAUAGUGGGAUCCGUGGUGUGAGGGAGGCCCUAAAUGUUGAACAAAAGACUUAUUUUCUUCCUGGAGGCAAGCAAUAUCUCUUUUCAAUUGGAAUACCCUGGCGUAGUUAUUCUAGUUCCCAUACAUAUCCUUCACAGAUUUCCACAAAUCUUGCAAGGAUUCACAGUAACUGAAUAUCUCAACAACAUGUUUCUCCAAAGUGUUGAGUAACAAGGACAUGACAAGUUGAUCCUUGCACAGCCAUGCUCCAUAGGUCUGAAAAGAAGAAUCUGGAAUUUCAACACUUCCAUUGAUGAACCCUAACUUUCCCCUUCCUCCUAGAGCGAGUGAAACUACCCUAGACCAAGGAAGGUAGUUGAGCUCAUUCAGCAGCACCGAGCAUAGGCGCUGGUUGGUAUUGACUUCAGCAUUCAAAAAAUUCGAGGGAGCAACCUGAGAGUUUUCUCCCUCAAGAUUGACUAUGCUUUCCUCAGCCAUUACAAAAGUUUAAACGAACACCAGUGGAAACAACACGGGCAGAGACAAGUCAAGGAUGACACUGCUCUGAUACCAUGUAGAUUUUUGGUUUCAAAGUGUUUUCUAUUUCAUGAGUAAUUCUGAAUGUACAAUGCAGUAUAUAUAGGCGAGAGAAACAAAUGGUUACAAGCAACCAUCUUUACAUGAAACCCUAGAGACCAGUUAAACCUAGGACACAAGUUUUUCCUUAAUUUAAGGUGAUUUACAUCAAAUCCAAGAAUAAGAAGUAAUCAGCAAGUUAAGUGCCUUGAAUCAAGGAGCUGGAAAACUAGCGAUUGACUUGUGUAUCCAUGAUUACUUGUAGACUUGAUAUGAGAUGACAUGCUAGGGUUGCUUUUGCUAGGGUUUAGUGUGACUGGUUCCAACAAAAACAGUUGGGCUUUAAUGACACGGAUUAAAUCUUAUUGGGUUUGAGAGUCAUGUUUUCCUAGACUUCAAUGACUAAGAAAAUGAUUAUCACUCACUGUUAAAUGUUUAAUCCAACAGUACAGAAAAAAGUAUAGUAAAAAAGUUAAAUGAGCACCAACCAUUAGAUUAAGAUCGAACGGUGGGUGACCACCAUUUUCUUGGUAAUUGGAUUAUAGGAGAACAAUUCUGUUGGGUUUUAUAGGGUUUCUUCUGUUUGAGUGGUUAAUUGGCUAUUCAAUCUUAUUGACCUCAAACCUAUGUGGCUAAAAGAAAUAGAGGAUUCAAAGCCAAGUCUAUGUUUGUCUCCUUUAAGAAAAUUUAGAGUAAUACUGUUGAUGUAAUCAAAUUUACUCCCUUAUUUGUGUAGUUUAUACUUUAACAUUAGUUUAUACGACUUCAUGCAUAAAAUUUGUUUAUAUAACAUUUUUUUAUAUAGCAUUUUUCCAUUCGUUGUCUUAAUCCACUUUGCUUUUCUAGGCACUUGAAGAUGAUCUACCCUCGCCCAUUACACCCAGAAACUCCCCACCCCUCCUUCUAAAUCUAUAUUUAUGUUAUUAAAAUAAAAAACCAAACAAAAGACAGCAAGGGGGAAUAUGAUAAUAGACAUACCUUUGCCACCAAUGGUACACCGGCACACUUUUCAGCUAUCGCCCUUCCAAUGCCCUCUUGAUCUGAAUCUAGAGAACGAGCAUUACCAUUUCGUAAUGCUUCACCCCUUAAUAUGGACCAACAAUCCUCGUUUGAUAGGAGCCCCAAAUCACACUUCGGCAUUGUCCCCGUGAUUAAUGCAACCUUUUCACUGCGGGUAGUAACAAUGGUAAUGCUUCCGGGAGCAGAAUUGAGCAUCGACAAACAAUCCGUAAAACUGCUCCAUAAAUCCUCAGCUUCAUUCCAAACAUCAUCGAGUAUCAGCAUAUAUCUCUUCCCUUUCAACCUUUCUUUGAGGUUAUUCAGCGAUGCUUCCCGACUUGUACAUCCUGCCAAUUUAAGGGACUCUAACAUCCGAUUUAGAAUCGAAUUAACGUAAAAAGGGUUGGAUACACACACCCACAUUUUUUCCUGGAAAUGUCCACCAAUAGCAUCAUCAUUGAAUAUUGAUUUUGCCAAAGUCGUCUUUCCAAGUCCUCCCAAUCCCACAACGGCCAUAACCGAAAGGUUAUUUUCCUGAUUCUUGGACUCGAUCAAGGUUGCAAUGAUAUCCGACACUGUCUUCUCCCUUCCAAUGAUCUUCUCAUCCUGACGGAAGCUUGAGACGGUUUCUCUGUUCCCCAUAGCUGGAAGGGUUUGAUCUUCUCUCCUUGCAACUAAGCCAAUGAAAGAUGCCUCACUCUUGAGAACCGCCAGGGACGCAUUGAUGUUCUUAAUCUUGUGUGCCAUCUUUUGACGAAAUAAAAUGGGAUUGGAGAGCGAAAAGAAGUUAAGUACCUUCUUCUUCAUGUGGUUUUGCAGUUCUGCUUUACGCCGGAGAACUUCAUAGUUGAUGUCCUCCAAGACAUCAUCAGCAUCAUGAGCUACGUCUUUCAGUUUUUUCACCCAGUCCUCCAACGCCUUGCGCUUGUGAGGUGGUUGGUGGGCAACAUCGCCUAAGUAAUCUUGAAUCGCAAGUGACGAUUGUUGAAGCUCAGUUAGCUCUUUAUUGAAUCCUCGGAAAAGACUGAUUUCUUGAGCAGCAAGUGAAGCGACCGACUUCAGUAUUCCCUCCACCGGAAAAGUGAUGAGACCUUCUAGCACCUUUACAGGAUCCAUACCCGCCCGAUAAGGGGAGAUUAGAGAGUAGGAAGCAGAGAACUGAGAGAAAGCCAAGGAAGGACACAAGAAGAGCGAAUUAGAUGAAUGAAAGGCUUAACAAUAAUUCAAGAAAAUGUGGUAUAAGAAGAAAGGACCCUUUAUAAUUGACGCCACUUUACGCCUGUGAGCGUCAACAUAAUGUUCAAGAGUGGAGGCCAACUUUAAUAAAGUAACGAGGAUUGAAUAGGAAAGAUAAAAAGAAGACAAAAAUAUAAACCCAUCUUAUUAGCAAAUGUGUUCCAAAAAUUAAUUACCUAGCAUUAUUCUAUCUAUAUUAUCAAGAGAACUUUCAUUGUCAACCUUUCUCGAAAAUAAGAAUUAUAUCAUUGUUUUUCUUAUUUUACCCUUAACCUUUUCUUAAAAUGACAAUCAUAUCCUCAGUUUUUUUAAUUUUACCCUCAUUUUUGAUACACAAUAUUUACAUAAAGAAGACAAAAUUGUAAUUAUAUAAUAUUAAGAAAAAUAUGCCCUUAUGAAGAGAAACUGUCUCAUCAUCAUUGUCUCAUACUUUUUAAAAAAAAUUUAAAAACUAAUCACUCCUUAAUCAAAAACAAAAAAGAAAAUGAAAUUAUUCACACACUAAGUGUGCUCAUCUGCCAGUUCAUAUAAAAGAUAACAGAUAGAAGAUGACAACUUUCACUUGGGCUUUCUAGUAAAUUAAUGAAAAUACACUAAAACCUAAAGAUGCUAAUUCAACAUGAUAAAUGACAGAAUUCGGCCUAAAAUGCUCAUGCAUCACAACAAAGUGGUGAAUUAAAUUUGUGAUUUUUCUGAAAAGCCGGUUCAAUGCAUAAAUAUUAUCAUGAAUUAACGAUAACGAUCAGAAUUCUCCUUGAGAGCAACAGGGGCAAGUUCUUGAGCCACGGCUUUACCUACUGAAACCUUUCUCCUAACAAAUGAGACGCCGGAUAACUUGCUGCGCAUCCAAGGCCAUCUUGAGCCCUUCAACCCCACCAACAUAACAUCCGACUCUAUUCCAAUCAAACAUGGGCCCCGCACGUCCCCACACGGCACAUUCCCUGACCCCCUUCGUCCUCAAUUUCCCUCCAAGAAUGUUACAUGGACAUCAACAUUCAAGUAUGAUGCAUAAACUGUAGUUUCAUCAUCCUUCCAACACGCAAUAUUUUAGUAUGCGUUGGUUGCAUCGAAUAUUUCAGACUGGAUUAGUUUUAGAGGCUAAGUUAAAUUAUGUUAAUAUAAACUAAACUUAAUUCAUAUGAUAAUACGUUUAAUGCAAUGUCAGAUUAAGACACAAAAUAAUUAAGAAAAAGGCAAAUGAAAAUCCAAUUACUUUGCUUUUAAAUCAGCAUAAACUUUUUUCUCAAAUAAUUCAAGAAAAUGUGGAUAAGAAGAUGAGAGAUACAUAUCAAGAUGGUAGGACCCCUUAUAAUUGAUGCCACUUUACAAUUGUGAACUUAAUUUGGUGAGACUGAGCACUUUUCUAAUAGUAUGGAGACAUAAAAUGGCAAAAAAUUGUAAAGCAAAGCAAGACCACAUAAAUGUAAAUCCAUCGUAUCAGCAAAGAUUUUUUCUGGACAAUUUUAGACAAUAGUGGAGAUUCAACUUUAUUAUAUGAAGAUAAUUCUAGUGUUCGGUCUUUUGAUCAAUCUGGCGAUGUGUUGCACACUCACACUAAUAUGAGCAUCAUUAUAUUGUGUUUUAUCAACCUUAAAAUUAACCCCACCCCACACGAUGGAGUGAGUCUAGUGCCGAAAAAUCAUUGUAUCAACCUCUCUAGACAACUUUAGAUGAUAAUAGAGAUCCGACUUCAAUAAAAUUAAGGAAAGAACAAAAAAUAAUAAUGCAACAGAGGAAAAAAAAAAGGGAGCACGUAAGUACAAAGAUUAUAUAAAAGAGAGAAAUGCUAAGUAACUCUCUUAAGUUGAGAUUCUAUGUGGACUUUUCGUUACUUUAUGUUUGUAAAAAAUUAUUUUAUAAUAUUGACAAGAAAAAAAAUUACAAAAAAUUUAUAGAGAAUCACACUUUUGAAAAAAUCUCCGAGAUUCUUGGCUUUUAUUACAGCUAUCCAACUAUCAAUAGCAUGCAUUGUUUUAGGAUGGAAUUUGGAAGCAUUUGAGACGGUCAUCCACGCACCAGAGAGAUGAAAGUCGUCAUGUAACUCUACCAACACGUAAUAGGGGUGGAAAAGCAAGGAGACAAAAUUGGUAUUGUAACCCUACCGACGCGUAAUAGAACGGUGGAAAAGCAGGUGCUGCUUUUUCAAGAAAACCAAGGGAAUGACGUUUCCACUUCCCAAUGGAAAACCACGAUGCCACUAUUUAAUCACUGGAUGGUUAAGAUUGAAAUUUCGCAAAAGAUUCAUGCAUAUACGAUAUUUAGUUAAUAAUUUAAUCAUUUGUAAUUACAUUAUUGAAUUUGUGAAUUUGAUUUAAAAUUUUUAAUUUCUCUAAUAUUACCAAUAUUGAAACACCUAACCCAACUCAAGCUCCUUCAAUCAACAAAAGAAAAAGUCAUCCACCUCCAUCAAAAUUGAGAUAAAAUGGACCAGAAUGCUCUCAUGAUCCUUCUCUCCAAAUCUGAUUGGGUCAUUUUCUUGAGUCGAGUAAUAGCAUUAAUAAGUUACAUAUUCUAUUAAUCGCCGAUAAAAUUCAAACUUACACCAUUAUACAAGGAUACAAAACAUUUCCAUCACUAUAAUAAAAGACCACUUGCGACCGGGUCAUUUAAUUUAAAUCGCCCAUCCCAGCGUGUGGCAACUUCUUUCUUUUCAUACUUUCUCUGCGUGAAGACGUCUACACGCGAAAGAUCUUCAUCGUCCACCUUAUUUCACGCGGUGAUUCAUUUAUUGACUUAAACUUGUUUCGAUUAGUCAACAAAUAUAGGUCUUCCAUGAAUUUUUGUCAGGACUCAGUGCUAGUGACUAUUCAAACCCUACCUAAUUCUCACAUCUUCACCAUGAUUAGUCAACAAAUAUUGGUUUUAACUUUUUACUAUACUAUAAUGUUUAGUCUCUAAAUUAUCUAAUAUUCUGUUAUCGGCCCCACGCGUUGUCCCCACAUGGCACAUCCCAUUUCUUCCUCAAUUUCCUCCAAUAAUGUUUACAUGGACGUCAAUAUUAAUUCAAGUAUAAUGGACAAGGUGUAGUUUCAUCGUCCUUCCAAUAUGCUAUAUUUGAGUAUGCGUUUGUUGCAAUGAAUUAUUUCAUAUUGAAAUAUAAAUACAAAUAUUAAACUGAAUUGACUUAAAAUACACUAAAUUUGACUAAUUUAAUGAAACGUUUGAUCUAAUUUCAAACUAAAUAGCAAAGUAAUUAAUAAAAUGGUAAGUUCAUCCCAACAAAAUUUACCACAUCACUAGUUUCAUCCCAACAAAAUUUGCAUAGUUCGAAUUAUUUAGGUUGAAAUGUUCACAAGAAAUAUUUUACGACAAUGUAAGAUUAAAUUAAUUCAAAGAAAGUUAACACAAACACAAAACUUUGUAACCAAUCAAAUUAUCAUAUAAAAUCGUAAAAACCAUAAAUUUAUGAAUUCUACCAUAGGAACUCACUCAUUGAAGGUAAUAUUGCUUUAGGGACACAAAGAUUCUUUUUAAAUCCUUAAAUGAGUCCUUAAAAGUGAUGGUUCAAGUCCCUAAAUCUCUAACACCUUGAGAGAUGAAAUAAAUUCAAAUCCGUAAAUCUCUAAACCUUUGGAACAUAAUAUUGGGGACCUUGCCAUAAAAAAUAAAGGGUGACUCUGAAUGCAGUCAUUAAUCACUAAUAUUGUUUGAUUGAAAUCUUAUUAGUUCUAAGUUUUUUUUAUCAAAGUCUUUGACUUUGUACGUCUCUUCAUAUUGAUAUUAAUGUAGUUUCAUAUCAACUAAUUAUUUUUGAAGUUCCUUAAUUCUUGGACUUCAAAUUUUGUAAUAAAUUAAUUCCUGAAAAAGCAUAAGACACAUAAUAAAUAGUAAAAUUUGUAACGAAUAGAACAUUUAUCUACCAAUAAUCAAGCAUUACAUUCUAAACACAUAAAAAACAAUGUACACAUAUAAUUGGAUUUUAAAAAAAAAGAAUUUAUCAUUAUAAUUGAGAAAUUUAGAAAAAUAAUCAAAAUUUGAACCUCAUAGAAAAUUAUAGCCGUUUUUUAAGUUAAUGAUAAUUAUAACCAAAGUUGAUGUAAAAGUAUUAACAUAUAUACUCAUGAGGUUCUCUCCGCCACCUCCAAUUCUUCAAACUUUUAGACCGUCUCCGAGGAGUUAAGCUCUCCAGUCCAACAUAAUAUCUAGGUUUUUCGUUUCAGUAGGUAAUCGUUAUAACCAUGGUGGGCAUGGCCACGAAAGGUACUAUUUUUCUUACGAUUCCUAACAUAUUCCUUCAAUUUUUGUUCUUUAAUUUUUCUGAUUUUUGUUGCAUUUGAUUUUCUAAACAUAUUAGAUUAGAUUUCGACCUCUUUCAUCAACACUGCGAAACCGAUGUUCCGAUUGGCCGGGCAAAGUCAUGGUACACCAUCCCAUUUCAGAUUGUAAAAGGUUGACUUUUGGUUUCUGGCUUUUAACUUUGAGCUUUUGGUUUUUGUUUUUUAAUAUUUUCACGUAGAAAUAGCAUUAUUAAUAUGGGAGCACAACAAUAUAUAUGAACCUACAGAGAAAUUAAAGAAAAACAGAGAUGUUGGUCUGCCAUAUGUAAAUUGACAUAUUUGGCUUCUAGCAUUGGGAAGAAAGAAAUUGUGUAUAUUUGAAUUAUAAAUUGCAUUUUCCAUCCAAAUUAAGUAUUUAAAAUUAUUGCCGACAAGAGGAGUUUUGUGAUUAGUCGCCUGCAGGUACGCGUAGACUCAUAUUUACUAUUCACAAAAUGUCAUUAUCGUUCCCGCGUGCAUACGUACGAUCCACCCGUCCAUUCUUGAUUUGUAAAUAUUAUAAACAUAAGUAGCUACUAUGAACGCAUAUGCCAUGACAAUUCUUUUUUUUUUUUUAUAAUUUAUUUUAUUUUUGCUUCUUUGAUUGUGAUAUCCCAGCAAAUUGAGGUUACCCCGUCAAACAAAAUCACUAAUAAAUUCGAUUUAGUAGUUGGCAGUCGGCUAUGGUGGGUGCGCCCAUGGUUUCAAGUCUAAUUUGCAUUUUUUAUUAAUAGUUGGCACGGUCACAUGGUGGUAACCACUUAUUUGUCUUUUGAUUGAUGCAGAUCCGGAUUAAAAAACAAAUGGUCUUUCUAAUUAGGAUAUUUUAUUACUAAUUGUGUUGAUCAAUGAUUGUUUGGCUAUUUGUAACUUGUAAGGUUCAUGAGUGUUGAAAGAGAAAACCGAACACAAGAUUUCAGUUGUAAGUACUAAAUGUAUGCUCUUAACCACUAGAGUUAUAAGUUUUUUGUGUGCUCAAUGUUCGACUCUCGUUCUUUCUAAACAUGAAUUGUGUGGACCAUUGGAUCUGAUGGAGAAUUGGACACCUUAGCAUCAUUGAAGUGAAACAUGCUAUUUGCUCCUCAAGAGGCUAUUUUUCAUGCAGACCUUACGUGCAGAUCAGAUAUAGUACUUUGGAUCUAAUUUGAACUACCGAAAUCAAAACAAGUUUAGGGUGAAACCAGCUCACAAUAAAACAAAGCUCAUUGGUGGAACAGGGUCUGAAAAACCCGUAUAAUUCAUCGGCACAACUCGAAUAUCUCAUCCUUUUUCGUUUUUUUUUUCUUUUCCCGCAAUGGAUUUGGAAUUCCCCAUGGCUGAUGUCACCACACGAGUCUCAUUAUCACCGGAAAAAACCAUGGACAUACUAAAAUCUGCUAUUUUCGUGUCCAAGUUUUCGUUGCACUGGGAUUACUCUCCACUCUUAAUCCAAUUCUCUUACUGGAUUCCCUUCUUAAGUGAGCUGAAAUACUAAUCAAAUUUAUCUGUGAUUAACAUAUUCUAGAAAACUCGGCAUGAUUUUAUUCAAGGAUGAAAGAUUGAAGAAAAAGAGUUACAUAUUGACUAAACAGAUUACCUUCCACAAAAUUGGUCUCAUAAAACUGUGUUAGUUGGGAGAACCUGCACAGAGUGAGAAGAAACACAACCUUCUACAAAAGCGUAUCUGCAGAGUGAGAAGAAACCUUCUACAAAAGUUGCAUCUUUCUUUAUUCAGAUUCGUACCAGUCCCGAUAACACUUAACACAUGAGAAAACGAGAGUGAGUGAACAAUAUUGAAUCAAAUAUUCAUGAAUAAUUGAUUGGAGAUAAAAAUAAAAAAUACCUCUGAUAUCUGGAAUAUGAUAAAUCUUCGGCCAUCUUGGGCCACUGUUCUUGGCGCAUUCUUUCUGCCAGACGUUGGUGAUUGGUAUUUAGUCUUUGGUUACUAUUAUCUUUAGCAAAUGGAGUAGACUUGUCCUUGAAAGUUGAUGACCAAAUUGACAACUACCUCCUCUUCAUUUGGCUACAAUUAAAUCCUAACUAGCUAGUAGCUACCCAGCAAAUGGUGUUGUCAUGGGACCUGCAUUGGUGGAAUAUGAACAUCUGGAAUUCAAUCCAGCUGAAUUAUGGUAUGGUGAAAUCGUAACACAAGUUUCUUCAUUUCAGCCGGGAGUUCCUUCUCGAUGCCUAGACACCUCCAUUUCCACAAUUCACAAAACUCAUGGUGGCUCUAUGUUGGGAGGCAUGCCGUGCUGUCUCUGAUGCUUCCAGACCGAAUUCACAUUGAACUCUCCUCGAAGCCUUUGAUCCAAAAUAGUAUUUCAAUCCCUGUUCUGGAACUCAAGAUUCACCCACUCCACUAUGUGGACAAGAUCAUCAUUUUCUAUGAUUGCAGGUUGGCCAGUAAAAAUCUAAACAUCAAUUUUUUUUUCUUUCAACCUUGCUAAUUAUAGUAUCUGCAGACCAAAUAAAGUAAUCAUAGAUCACUCACUGCUCAUAGAUUUGUUUUUUUUUUUUAACAUGAUCAAAAUUCUAAGAACAGUAGAACACAGAAAUCUGAACAAGCUCGGUAUCCCAUGACCGAUGCCACCAGAGUCUCAGUGUCACUGGGAAAAACCAUGGACAUACCAAACUCUGCUAUUUUGCAUCCAAGUUUUAAUUCAAGAGAAUGUUGGCAGUCUUUACAUCUCUAUGCACAAUACUGGAUUGUGCAUAUAUAUUAGCAUACAAAAUAACACUAAGCACCUAUCUAACGCAAUAUCUAAUGCUAUCCGAAGUCUCAUUUCCCAAGUUUAUGUGAGCUUUGUUGAAUUAUAAGUCUCUAGCUGAUUGAGUAUUAGAAAUAAGAUGAGUUUUAAUGUGUGUAUUCACUUGAGCAUAUCUGCCAAGUGUAAGGUUAAAUGAUGUAAGGCCAUGAGUGCUAUGUGGUGUUUGAUCCAUGUAAUUAGGUUGAUGAGUGACUAAGUUUAAAAGUAGUGUUUUGUGUGGUCCUAAAGCUAAGGCCAUCAGUUAAAUGUAAAGCAGUGUUAGUGCGCAUUUUUCUGUGCAGUACAAAUAUUCCUCUGCAAUACUUUUGCAGCAGAGAGAACAAGAAAGAAAAACUUUUCGGUUCAACUUCUAUCUUUGCUUUGCUUCUGUUCAGCAUUCUGAAAAUAAACCCAGCAAAAUCAAGUUACACUAACAUGGCCUCAGAGCCUUGUUUCGAUUAGAUCUGGGCGUGUUUCUGUGAGCUCAAACAUCACCGUUUCUGGACUCGGUGAAGUUUGCCGGAGUUUGUUUGUGAGCUAAGAACUACGUGUUUCUGGAUUCACACAAGCUCACGAUGGCUGGAUCUGGGAGUGCUGAAGUGAGGACCCCGAUCUUCUCCGGUGAGAACUACGAGUUCUGGAGAAUCAAAAUGGUUACCAUUUUCAAGUCAUAUGGACUGUGGAAUCUGGUGGAAAAAGGGAUUUCGGUUUCUGAUUCGAAGAAGAAGAAAGCUAAGACUGAUGAAGAUACAGAUGUUGAUGCUGACGAUGAUGAGAAAAUGGCUGCAACCUUCAUGAAAGAUGCAAAAGCACUCGGAAUCAUUCAAAACGCAGUCUCUGAUCAGAUUUUCCCUCGAAUCGCAAACGCAGACUCAGCAAAAAUGGCAUGGGAUCUGUUAUAUGGCGAAUAUCACGGUGGGGAUCAGGUAAGAUUUGUGAAACUCCAGAAUCUUAAACGAGAAUUUGAAUACACUAGAAUGCGUGAUGAUGAAUCUUUGACUGGGUAUCUUACUCGUUUAAAUGAUCUGAUUAAUCAAAUGAAGACGUUUGGUGAAAUUCUGUCAAAUGAGAGAUUAGUUCAGAAGGUGUUAAUCAGUCUCACUAAGAUAUAUGAUCCUAUAUGCUUAGUGAUAGAAAACACCAAAUGUUUAGAAUCUGUUGAAUUGCAAGAGGUACUAGCUAUAUUGAAGAGUCAAGAGCAGAGGUUUGAUUUGCAUUCCUCUGAUGCAACUGAGAGAGCAUUUUCUUCUCUUACUGUUAGUUCAAAAGGGCAGAAUCGAAGUUAUGCUCAGUCUAGUACUUUUAAACCACAGAAAAAUUGGAAUCAAAAGGGUAAGAAAUGGGAUUUAAAACCAAAGUUUCAGCAAAAAUCAUACACAAAUGUUGCACAGAAUAGUAUUUCCUCACAGAUUAUGGGUCAAGAGAGUGUAAAACCUCAAUGUAAGGUGUGUUCAAAGUUUCAUUAUGGUGAAUGUAGAUAUAAGGGGAAAUCCAAGUGCCAUAACUGUGAUAGAUUUGGUCAUUGGGCCAGAGAGAGUGUACUGUUGGAAAGUCUGUUCAAAAGGCAAACUGUGCAAGUCAAAUGGAAGUGACAGGAAACUUAUUUUAUGCAAACUGUGCAGUUGCUGAGACUAAGGUUAAUGGAGAUUGGUACAUAGAUAGUGGCUGCAGUAAUCAUAUGACAGGAAAUGUUGAUCUUCUUGUUGAUGUGAAUACAAAUGUUGCAGGGAAAGUUCAAAUGCCAACAGGAGGGUUAGUUAAUGUGGCAGGAAUGGGAUCACUGGAAAUUGAGACUAACAGAGGAAGAAAAUACAUUCGAGAAGUCAUGUACUUACCUGGUUUGAAGGAGAAUCUAUUAAGUGUAGGACAAAUGGAUGAGCACGGAUACUAUCUUGUGUUUGGUGGACAUAUGUGUACUGUUUUUGAUGGUCCUUCUCUGAAAUGUCAAAUUAUCCGUGUAAAAAUGAAAGAAAACAGGUGCUAUCCUCUAUCUCUACGGCCUGAGAAACAACUUGUGUUGAAGACCAGUUUUGCUCAUUGUUCUCUGACUUGGCACAGAAGAUUAGGUCACCUACACUUUGGUGGAAUUAAGAAAUUGAAGGAUAAUGACAUGGUACAUGGAUUACCAUAUCUAGAUGAGUAUGACAAAGUGUGUGAAGGCUGUCAAUAUGGUAAGCAACACAGAGAAAGGUUUCCUAGUGGUCAAGCACAAAGAGCUGGUGCUCCACUUGAAUUGGUUCAUGUAGAUCUGUGUGGACCGAUGAGAAUCGAGUCUACUGGAGGAAACAAGUACUUUAUGUUGCUUGUAGAUGAUGCAACCAUGAUGAUAUGGGUGUAUUUUCUUAGAUUCAAAUAUGAAGCUUUUACUUGUUUUCAGAAAUUCAAGGCCAUGACUGAGUUGCAAAGUGGAAUGAAGGUAAAAUGUGUAAGGAGUGAUAGAGGAGGGGAGUUCUUAUCAAAUGAAUUCAAGCAAUACUGUGACACAGAGGGAAUCCAAAGGCAACUGUCUCUCUCUUACACUCCACAGCAAAAUGGAGUGGUUGAAAGAAAAAACAGAACUGUGAUUGAAAUGGCCAAGUCUAUGCUUCAUGACAAAGGAAUGCCUUACUAUAUGUGGGCAGAAGCUGUGCAUACUGCUGUCUAUCUGUUAAACAGAUGCCCUACCAAAUCACUGGAUAGUAUAACACCUUUUGAAGCUUACAGCAAAAGGAAACCAGGUAUUGCUCAUUUGAAGGUUUUUGGCUCAGUUUGUUAUGUUCAUACUCCAUCCGAGCUAAGACACAAGCUAGAACCCAAGAGUAUAAAAGGAGUCUUUGUUGGAUAUGCAAAAUGUGAGAAAGGCUAUAGAGUAUUUGAUCCAAUCUCUAAGAGACUGAUUCUGUCAAGAGAUGUUGUGUUCGAUGAAAACUCAGCUUGGGAUUGGGAAAGAAGCACUGAAAGAUAUAUGUCACUGCCUACUUAUGAGUUUGACUCUGUUGAUACACAAAGAAGUGAAAAUGCAGAAAAUGACCCUCAAGUUUCAAGUGAUUUAUCAUCUGGAAUAUUGGAAGAAGCUGCAAGUGGUAUUGAUGAUACACAGAUCAACUCUCAGUCAAGUGCAGGUGUGAAUGACACUCAGUUUUUUGAUCAUACUCCAUUAAAAUGGAGAAAGCUGGAUGAUGUUCUUGCUCAGUGUAAUCUUUGUAUUAUAGAACCAGAGAAAUAUGAAGAUGCAGCUAAGGAUGAAUCUUGGAUGAAUGCUAUGAAGGAUGAGCUCUCCAUGAUUGAAAAGAAUGCAACCUGGGAGUUAGUGGACAGGCCAAGUAACAAGCCUAUAAUUGGAGUAAAAUGGGUGUGUUUAAAACCAAACUCAACCUGGAUGGAACUGUGCAAAAGAACAAGGCAAGGCUUGUUGCAAAGGGAUAUGCACAGAAACCAGGAAUAGACUACAAUGAGACCUUUGCUCCUGUUGCUCGAUUAGAUACAAUCAGAACCCUUAUAGCAUUGGCUGCACAAAAGAGUUGGAAACUCUAUCAACUUGAUGUUAAAUCGGCUUUUUUAAAUGGUGUUCUAGAGGAGGAGGUUUAUGUGGAGCAACCUGAUGGUUUUGUAGCUAAAGGGGAGGAAGACAGGGUAUAUAAACUUCACAAAGCCUUGUAUGGUCUAAAACAGGCACCACGGGCCUGGUAUGGAGAGAUAGAUACAUAUUUCUCACAAUGUGGUUUCACAAGAAGUUUAAGUGAACCAACACUGUACAUCAAGACAGAAGAGGAAGGCAUUUUGAUUGUGUCGAUCUAUGUGGAUGACAUAAUCUAUACUGGGAGCAACAAACAAAUGCUUGAAGAAUUCAAGGAAGACAUGAAACGAAAGUAUGAGAUGACUGAUUUGGGCCUUCUCCAUCAUUUUCUUGGAAUGGGAAUAAUUCAAACCACUUCAAGCAUUUUCAUCCACCAAAAAGAAAUAUGCAAACUCUCUGUUAGACAAAUUUGGUCUAAAAGAGUGCAAACCUGUGCUUACUCCAUUGGUUGCAACUGAGAAGUUAACCACGGAUGAUGGAAGUGGUGCUGCAAGUGAAGAAUUAUAGAAGUUUGGUGGGAAGUCUCUUAUAUCUCAUUGCAACCAGGCCUGAUAUUAUGUAUGCAUCCAGUCUGUUAGCCAGAUUUAUGCACUGCCCUACCAGUAAGCAUGUUGGAACUGCUAAAAGAGUGCUAAGAUACAUUAAGGGUACACUUGAUUAUGGUCUGGAAUAUGUGAAGGGUAAGGACUCAAUGUUAAUUGGGUUCUGUGACAGUGACUGGAGUGGAUCAAUUGAGGACAGUAAAAGUACUUCUGGUUAUGCUUUCUCCUUUGGCAGUGGAGUAUUCUCUUGGGCAUCUGUGAAGCAAAAUUGCGUUGCUCUUUCCACUGCAGAAGCAGAGUACAUCAGUGCUUCAGAAGCAACUACUCAAGCCAUUUGGUUGAGAUUUGUUCUUGAAGACUUUGGUGAAUUUCAAACCGAAGCCACUCCAGUGCACUGUGACAACACCUCAGCAAUUGCAAUCACCAAGAACUCUGUGUUUCAUCAAAAGACCAAACACAUUAACAGAAGAUACCAUUUCAUCAAGGAUGCACUGAAGGAUGGCAUCAUUGAUCUGGUGUACUGUCCAACUAAUGAGCAACUUGCUGAUAUCUUCACAAAACCUUUGCCUAAAGAUCGGUUUAAUUAUCUCAGGAGCAUGCUAGGAGUGAAAUCAGCUCAAGACUUAAAGGGGAGUGUUGAAUUAUAAGUCUCUAGCUGAUUGAGUAUUAGAAAUAAGAUGAGUUUUAAUGUGUGUAUUCACUUGAGCAUAUCUGCCAAGUGUAAGGUUAAAUGAUGUAAGGCCAUGAGUGCCAUGUGGUGUUUGAUCCAUGUAAUUAGGUUGAUGAGUGACUAAGAUUAAAAGUAGUGUUUUGUGUGGUCCUAAAGCUAAGGCCAUCAGUUAAAUGUAAAGCAGUGUUAGUGCGCAUUUUUCUGUGCAGUACAAAUAUUCCUCUGCAAUACUUUUGCAGCAGAGAGAACAAGAAAGAAAAACUUUUCGGUUCAACUUCUAUCUUUGCUUUGCUUCUGUUCAGCAUUCUGAAAAUAAACCCAGCAAAAUCAAGUUACACUAACAAGCUUCUAUCUGCAUCCGCAACCAUUGACAUGACACUUAAAUAUUUUGAAACCCUCUGUUGGAGGACAAUGCUAUGUAAAAUAUAGAAUUACAUACCUGAUCGGAGAUAUUCUUUUAGGUUUUCGUUAAGCAUGUACUUGUAUAUAAGUGCCAACUUGUCGAUAUCAUCACAGUAUCCAAUAAAUGAGGCCAAGUUUCUAUGAUGGAUUCUCUUCAGGAGCUCAACCUGCAGCCACAAGGAACUCAUCAAUCUCUAACCAACGAGACGAGGCAUUUAACUUGCAUUCCAAGGAAUUAAAUUCAAACUGUCAAACCUCUGUUUGGAACUCCCUAGCUGAGCUAGCUCCUUGAGAUGACGAUGUAGAACCACAUCUUGAGUGCCGUAUUUCAACUAUCCAUGGUACAAUCCCAAAUCCCCCUUUCCCGAUUUCAGUUUUAAAGUUUUUGGUGAUUUCUAAAACCUCAUCAUAAGUGAACUAGAACUUCUGAAGCUACAGGAGUUUUGUUACGUUUUCUCCAUUUGCAGCUUAAGUAGACAAAAAGAUAUGUGUUCAGACUAACUGGUCAGAAAUACUACUGCACCAUAGUAGGAGCGCCGGUUCUAACUGAAUAAGUAUCAAAGGUAUAAAAUGGUACCUGGUUUUCUUAUUCUUCUCAGCUUCCAUACCAGUAUGAGCACUAUAACUAGGAGGAGAGGCCACUGCUGACAGUAAUGAUCCAAGUAUUGGAACAACCAUGUUCUCCUUGCACUUGAUUGAAUCUGAACUAAAACAGGACUUAUAAGCACAUCGAAAAUCUGAAGGACACAAUACCAUUAGCUUUCAUUAAAGAAAAUGCUAACCUAUUCGGUGCUCUCCAUGAACGAAACUUGCACAGAGCAGUAGGACGAGGAAACCAGUUGAGAUCUUCUUCUCUCUUUGUCUCACUGCAGCCUAUGAACUACCUGGUAUUUAAAACGCGUGACAAUGUUCCGACCAAAAAAGCAGAAAAACGUAUGUGACAGUGUGGAUUUGUACCUCAUGCUGCACAACUUUACAUGAAACAUGAUCCUUAUCACACGGAGAUGCUCAGUCUACAUCAAUCAAUGGAUCAUGCAAUGUUCAUACUAAGAGAGCAAUUUGGUUAAGCCAACGUAUUUUCUAGUCAAAACAUUUCAAGCAUUGUUCCAAAUUGAUUAAGUAGAGGACAAUAUCGAUAUAUAUUAGUAUUUAGCCUACGCUGAUUCACUACACAACAGAUCCCACACCCAUUUUUAACCCAUCAAGUUUUGAACAUGGAAUGAAUGAGAUAGUUUGUAGGAACCAGCAAAGGUAAAGCCUAAAUAGCUACCUAGCAUGUUGCUGUCAUUGAACCUGCAUUUGUGGAAUCUGAACCAAUGGAAAUCACUCUAGGUGAACUCUGGCAUGGUGAAAUUGUAACACAAGUUUCUUCAUUUGAGCCUGGAGUUCUUUGUCGAUGCCUAGAGACCUUUAUUCCAUACAUUGUGUUAGUUGGCACAGCACAGAACCCAUGGUGGUUAUAUGUUGGCACGUGAAAGUUGUGCAUGCCAUUGCUGUCUCUAAAGCUUUCCAGGCCGAAUUCACAUCCAACGCUCCUCGAAUCAUUUGAUACAAAAUCGUUGUUAAAUCCCAUUCUGGAACUCAGGGUUCACCCACUGCACUAUGUGGACAAGAUCAUCAAUUUCUAUGAUUGCAGGUUGGCCAGUAAAACUCUCAAAAUCAAUUUUUUUCAUUCUACCUUCGACAAUUAUAGUACCUGCAGACCAAAAAAAAGUAAUAUCAAACCACUCACUGUUCAUGCAUUUGUAUUUAUAACAUGAUAAAAAAAAUCUAAUAGAACGCAGAAACUUGAACAUACUCUAGAUCAAGAUAACCCACUCUGCCCAUGACCGACGUUACCACACAAGUCUCAUUAUCACUGAAAACAACCCUGGACAGACCGAAAUCUUCUAUUUACGCGUCCAAGCUUUUAUUGCACUGCGCUUGCUCCUCUCUUAAUGCAAUUCUCCUACUGGAUUCCCUUCUUAAGUGAGCUGAAAUACAAAUCCAAUUUAUCUGUGUUUAAAGUAUUCUAGAUAACUCGACCUGAUUUUAUUCAAGGAUGAAAGAUUGAAGAAAGAAGUUACAUAUUGACUAAACAGAUUACCUUCUAAAAAAUUGGUCUAAGAAAACUGUGUUAGUUGAGAGAACCUGCACACAGUGAGAAGAAACACAACCUUGUACAAAAGUGUAUCUCAACAUAUGGAAAUCACUCUAGGUGAACUCUGGCAUGGUGAAAUCGUAACACGAGUUUCUUCAUUUGAGCCUGGCGUUCUUUCUCGACACUUAGACACCUUCAUUCCAAACACUUCCAAACGAGAUAGAGAGUGCAGCCCCUUGGGCAAAUAUUGUAAUUUCCCACAUUUAUAUAAUUCCAAAUGAGAUAGAGAUUGCAAGCUGGAGACAUUGUGAUCCGGCAGAGAUAUCAAAUUGGAGCAUUCACUGACACGCAAAUCGGUAGACUUAUUAAUCCAUCACAUCCCCUAAUUAUCAACUCAGUGAGGGAGGUGGGAAUAGCCUCUAGAUUAGGGUAAAAAUAUAUAUCCAUCUUCUGAAGAGAGACGGGGGUUUGUAGCCCGUGACCCGACAAAGUCCUCAAAUUUGGACAAUUACAGAUCUGCAGUGUGCAAAGACUAGUUCAAGAAUGGAGCCCACGUAUACUUGCGAAUCCAUCGCAGUGUUCAAUAGACAAUCAGCGGAGGGAUGUGCAACCCUUUAAAGACAAGUCCCCCUCGAGAGUAGUGCAUCUCUCAAAAACCAGAUCAUGAAGUGAGGCAGACUCUGAAGUACGUCUUAGCUUUGGGCAAUCAAUUAUUUUCAACUCCUGAAGAGAUUGGGAUGGUGAAAUUUGGAAGGAUUCUAGAUUGCCGCAAUCCUCAAUUUCCACCGUCUCAAGUGAGGGGCAAUAUUCUAACCCACAACACAAGCUCGACAAUUUCUCACAGCUCCUAAUUCUCAAUUGAUGGAGAUUGGUUACUCGACAAUUUCUCAUCAUUCAAGAUGCAAAUUUAGUACCCUUGAAUUCCUCAAUCGUCAAGCUUUCUAAGUUGGGGUGCGGUUGGAAUCCUUCAAGAAUAUCCUCGUCAAGAAAAUUGCCAUUUCUUUCUUUAGGAGGGACCCGCCCCCAUUUUAAUAUCAAUUUUCGUAGGUUUGCCUUUUCCACUAAUUUUGAUUUCACUGCUUCUUCCUUGUCUCUCACAUAUUCUAAUGCUCCAAUAACUAGUUCCCCUUUCAAUUCAUUUAACCUGCCCAACUCAUCAAUUCUAUGACGCCUUGCUCUUUCCAAUUUAAAUGAAGGUAGCGUCUGCAGAUGAGUCAAUCUUGUCAUCCCAAAUGGAACUUCCACAUCCUCGUCGAAAUAAACAUGUCUGAAGUUGAUCAAAUUUUCCAUUUCCUUAGGAAACGUCUUAAG